This 438-nucleotide ribosomal RNA is filed under the name uncultured Latescibacterota bacterium. Its description in RNAcentral is "bacterial SSU rRNA". It matches the Rfam family "Bacterial small subunit ribosomal RNA", at positions 948 to 1382 of the family's 1533-position model. Lineage: Bacteria; Pseudomonadati; Candidatus Latescibacterota. The record is from RNAcentral.
AAUUCGACGCAACGCGCAGAACCUUACCUGGUCUUGACAUCCCGGGAAUCUUGUGGAAACACGAGAGUGCCUCGCAAGAGGAGCCUGGAGACAGGUGCUGCAUGGCUGUCGUCAGCUCGUGUCGUGAGAUGUUGGGUUAAGUCCCGCAACGAGCGCAACCCUUAUCCCUAGUUGCCAUCAGGUAAAGCUGGGAACUCUGGGGAGACUGCCGGUGAUAAACCGGAGAAGGCGGGGAUGACGUCAAGUCCUCAUGGCCCUUACAUCCCGGGCUACACACGUGCUACAAUGGCAGGUACAGAGGGCUGCGAAGCCGCGAGGUGGAGCGAAUCCCAGAAAACCUGUCUCAGUCCGGAUUGAAGUCUGCAACUCGACUUCAUGAAGGCGGAAUCGCUAGUAACCGCGAAUCAGCAGGUCGCGGUGAAUACGUUCCCGGGCCUU